RNAcentral lists this ribosomal RNA (279 nucleotides) under uncultured bacterium. Its description in RNAcentral is "partial 16S ribosomal RNA". It matches the Rfam family "Bacterial small subunit ribosomal RNA", at positions 524 to 798 of the family's 1533-position model. The record is from RNAcentral.
UACGUAGGGUGCAAGCGUUAAUCGGAAUUACUGGGCGUAAAGCGUGCGCAGGCGGUUAUGCAAGACAGAUGUGAAAUCCCCGGGCUCAACCUGGGAACUGCAUUUGUGACUGCAUGGCUGGAGUGCGGCAGAGGGGGAUGGAAUUCCGCGUGUAGCAGUGAAAUGCGUAGAUAUGCGGAGGAACACCGAUGGCGAAGGCAAUCCCCUGGGCCCGCACCUGACGCUCAUGCACGAAAGCGUGGGGAGCAAACAGGAAUUGAGAUACCCCGGGUAGUCCAA